AUUGAACGCUGGCGGCAGGCCUAACACAUGCCAGUCGAGCGGAUGAAGGGAGCUUGCUCCUGGAUUCAGCGGCGGACGGGUGAGUAAUGCCUAGGAAUCUGCCUGGUAGUGGGGGAUAACGUCCGGAAACGGGCGCUAAUACCGCAUACGUCCUGAGGGAGAAAGUGGGGGAUCUUCGGACCUCACGCUAUCAGAUGAGCCUAGGUCGGAUUAGCUAGUUGGUGGGGUAAAGGCCUACCAAGGCGACGAUCCGUAACUGGUCUGAGAGGAUGAUCAGUCACACUGGAACUGAGACACGGUCCAGACUCCUACGGGAGGCCGCAGUGGGAAAUAUUGGACAAUGGGCGAAAGCCUGAUCCAGCCAUGCCGCGUGUGUGAAGAAGGUCUUCGGAUUGUAAAGCACUUUAAGUUGGGAGGAAGGGCAGUAAGUUAAUACCUUGCUGUUUUGACGUUACCAACAGAAUAAGCACCGGCUAACUUCGU
This 483-nucleotide ribosomal RNA is filed under the name uncultured bacterium. RNAcentral describes it as "partial 16S ribosomal RNA". It matches the Rfam family "Bacterial small subunit ribosomal RNA", at positions 30 to 506 of the family's 1533-position model. The record is from RNAcentral.